AUUUUCACAUUUUAAUAAGAUUAUAAAGGUCUAGAAAAUGACUUAAUUUUCUCUUUGACCAUGAAAAUAUUUUCCUUUAUUUUCCUAAAUACCUCAAAUGUUAGAAAAUGCCAAAAAUAUUUUUCAGAAAAAUAUUUUUUACUAAACAAACGGAGCUUAAAAUGUAUUGUGACCUGAAUUGCAAGAAUUUAUUUGCAAAAUAAACAUCAAGAAAAUGUGCACUGCACAUUCUCAUAUUUUAUCAUUUGCCAUUGUCCUAAUCAACUUGAUAGCACAUUAAAAUAAUAAAUGCCACUGAAUAACACUUGGCUGCUGUCUGGUUUGCAGAAUCUAUUUCAUCGGUUAGAAUCACUUGGAAUGUCAUGUCAGGUAUCAAAUUAUUAUUAUUGAGCUCGGUUAAUAACAAAAGAUUGCAAGCAAUGUAUAUUUAGUUAGACGUUAUAUCUUUAAAUUUAAGAUUGUUAAACUCUUACUUUUAAAACAUUUUUUUUCCUAAUUCCAUUUGAAUUCAUCAUAUUACACUAAAGAGAGUAUGACCAAAAGUCUCUUAAAAUUUGCAAUUCAAUUUUUGGUAAAUUAUUAUUUCGUCUCUUUAGUUUGGAACUUAGAUGAGUUCGUCCCUACACUUUGUUUUCACUAAUGAGUUAGUUCUUUUGUCUAUAUUAGUCAUUAGAUAUAUUAAAAAAAUAUUAUAACCCUCAUAAUCACACCAAAUUUACAAAAUUUACCCUGUGUGUGUGUGUGUCCCCACCCUUAUAAUGUAAGCACAAAUAAGACUAGUAAUGAGCAAUUUUAGAAAUAAAAGGACUUGAUCGUUAAAAUUUAUGUUAAAAAAAAAACCUUUUAAGACUUAACUGUAAAAACAGUAUUUCUAUUUUUUUAGAUAUUAUUCCAUAAUUG
Molecule: unclassified non-coding RNA, 900 nt
Filed under: Hevea brasiliensis (rubber tree)
Lineage: Eukaryota; Viridiplantae; Streptophyta; Magnoliopsida; Malpighiales; Euphorbiaceae
Source: RNAcentral